AGUGCCAUCUCAAUAUCUGCUUUAAAGAUGGGAAUGGAGAUAUUGGCAAUAAAAAGGAACACAGUGCAAAUUUGACAAGUAAACGUGUAUUUUGGACAAUUCCUGAGUGACAGGCAAUGAAUGUGCAUAACAGUGGAGCAGAAGUGGAUGGAACUUCAUUUGUGUAUGAUGAUCAUCUGUCUCUCAGUAAGCUGUGGCAUCAAGUUGUGAAUGUAAUGUGUGUGACUGAAGCCCAGU
RNAcentral lists this long non-coding RNA (237 nucleotides) under Lonchura striata (white-rumped munia). Its description in RNAcentral is "domestica (Bengalese finch) lncRNA (ENSLSDG00000008126.1)". The record is from RNAcentral. Lineage: Eukaryota; Metazoa; Chordata; Aves; Passeriformes; Estrildidae.